Molecule: long non-coding RNA, 996 nt
Organism: Chenopodium quinoa (quinoa)
Lineage: Eukaryota; Viridiplantae; Streptophyta; Magnoliopsida; Caryophyllales; Amaranthaceae
Exons: 3
Source: RefSeq, a predicted model, not a curated record
ACAAAGAAGGCAAAGGCUAAUUAGUGAGAAGCUACACGCCUUGCAGAGUUUAGUUCCACACUCUCAUAAGAGAGACCAUGCAACCAUCCUUGAUGAUGCAGCUCAGUACAUCAAAUCAUUAAAGCUCUAUAUGGACAAGAUGGUGUUGCAAAGGAAUGGAGAAAGCCUAUAUCAGCAGGCUCCUUAUGCAGCUCAGCAAACAUCCGUGUCCAUGAUGUCUUGGCCUCAUAAAAUGCAUGCAGCAGAAUGCAAAUGGAUGCAAUAAACAUCAAUCAAAUGUUGAACUGUUGAAGUCUACAAUAAUGUACGAGAAUUCGUUUAAUAUACUUCAUCCAUCCCUAUUUACUUGUCCUAUAUAUCUAUAAUCAUGUUUGCAUUGAAUUUUUAAGUGAAAAUAUAAACGAGUGGGCAAAUGAUCGAGACAGAUAAUAAGUCGAGACACCAAAAGAAUGGAGACAAGUAAAAGAUGGAGAGAGUACUAUAACUUAGUCAAAUUUCUCUUUCUGUCUUUGUUAUUUUAAAUAGUAUCAUUCUACUUUUACGUUUUAUAAUCUGUAAUAAAUUUUAAUUAUAACAUCUUUGAUUAGUUAUCUUUCCAUUAUUUUAAAAAAUUGGACAGUUUAUAAGACUCAAGACCACUUGGACAAUAAUUAAUUAACUUAGCAAAUGAACCUUCUAGAUUAUCAGAAUUUGUACUUUCAGUUAAUUACUUGAGAGGGAGGUAGCUAGCUAAGGUGGUUAGAGCUUUUCUGAUCUCCAUAUUCCUGGAAUUCCUGAGAUUGAUUCUCAUCAUCCGUCCUUAUGACUCUCUAUACACCAAAAAAAAAUAAAAAUACUUAUUUAGUUCGUAGUUUUCAUUUUUUUUGGCAUUCGAACUCAAACCUUUAACCGUAUUCAAUAAAUAUAAAAGACCAAAAGAAAACCUUAUUUUAUAAUAAAUCAUAAAGUCGUAAAUCAGCCGAACAAAUCAAUCAAUUUUUUUUAAAAAUCACAAUA